CGAAGAUACACGAAGACCUUACCUGGCCUUGACAUGGUAGGACCUUAAGAGAUUAGGGGGUGCUAGCUUGCUAGAACCUACACACAGGUGCUGCACGGCUGUCGUCAGCUCGUGUCGUGAGAUGUUGGGUUAAGUCCCGCAACGAGCGCAACCCUCGUCCUUAGUUGCUAACAGUUCGGCUGAGCACUCUAGGGAGACUGCCUUCGCAAGGAGGAGGAAGGUGAGGACGACGUCAAGUCAUCAUGGCCCUUACGGCCAGGGCUACACACGUGCUACAAUGGGGCGUACAGAGAGCUGCGAUACCGCGAGGUGGAGCCAAUCUCUUAAAGCGUCUCUCAGUUCGGAUUGUUCUCUGCAACUCGAGAACAUGAAGCUGGAAUCACUAGUAAUCGCAGAUCAGCUAUGCUGCGGUGAAUACGUUCCCGGGUCUU
RNAcentral lists this ribosomal RNA (431 nucleotides) under uncultured Sulfuricurvum sp. RNAcentral describes it as "bacterial SSU rRNA". It matches the Rfam family "Bacterial small subunit ribosomal RNA", at positions 952 to 1382 of the family's 1533-position model. Lineage: Bacteria; Pseudomonadati; Campylobacterota; Epsilonproteobacteria; Campylobacterales; Sulfurimonadaceae. The record is from RNAcentral.